Molecule: ribosomal RNA, 541 nt
Filed under: uncultured bacterium
Lineage: Bacteria
Description: bacterial SSU rRNA
Rfam family: Bacterial small subunit ribosomal RNA
Source: RNAcentral
AAUAGAUACCCGGGUAGUCCACGCCCUAAACGAUGUCUACUAGUUGUCGGGGGGUAACUCCUUCGGUAACGCAGCUAACGCGUGAAGUAGACCGCCUGGGGAGUACGGUCGCAAGAUUAAAACUCAAAGGAAUUGACGGGGACCCGCACAAGCGGUGGAUGAUGUGGAUUAAUUCGAUGCAACGCGAAAAACCUUACCUACCCUUGACAUGCCACUAACGAAGCAGAGAUGCAUUAGGUGCCCGAAAGGGAAAGUGGACACAGGUGCUGCAUGGCUGUCGUCAGCUCGUGUCGUGAGAUGUUGGGUUAAGUCCCGCAACGAGCGCAACCCUUGCCAAUAGUUGCUACGAAAGGGCACUCUAUUGGGACUGCCGGUGACAAACCGGAGGAAGGUGGGGAUGACGUCAAGUCCUCAUGGCCCUUAUGGGUAGGGCUUCACACGUCAUACAAUGGCUGGUACAGAGGGUUGCCAACCCGCGAGGGGGAGCCAAUCCCACAAAACCAGUCGUAGUCCGGAUUGCAGUCUGCAACUCGACUGCAUG